Molecule: ribosomal RNA, 503 nt
Filed under: uncultured bacterium
Lineage: Bacteria
Description: partial 16S ribosomal RNA
Rfam family: Bacterial small subunit ribosomal RNA
Source: RNAcentral
AUUGAACGCUGGCGGCAGGCUUAACACAUGCAAGUCGAGCGGGGUGAUGGUGCUUGCACUAUCACUUAGCGGCGGACGGGUGAGUAAUGCUUAGGAAUCUGCCUAUUAGUGGGGGACAACAUCUCGAAGGGGAUGCUAAUACCGCAUACGUCCUACGGGAGAAAGCAGGGGAUCACUUGUGACCUUGCGCUAAUAGAUGAGCCUAAGUCGGAUUAGCUAGUUGGUGGGGUAAAGGCCUACCAAGGCGACGAUCUGUAGCGGGUCUGAGAGGAUGAUCCGCCACACUGGGACAGAGACACGGCCCAGAAUCCUACGGGAGGCAGCAGUGGGGAAUAUUGGACAAUGGGGGGAACCCUGAUCCAGCCAUGCCGCGUGUGUGAAGAAGGCCUUAUGGUUGUAAAGCACUUUAAGCGAGGAGGAGGCUCUUUUGGUUAAUACCCAAGAUGAGUGGACGUUACUCGCAGAAUAAGCACCGGCUAACUCUGUGCCAGCAGCCGCCGUAA